This 503-nucleotide ribosomal RNA is filed under the name uncultured Lentisphaera sp. RNAcentral describes it as "bacterial SSU rRNA". It matches the Rfam family "Bacterial small subunit ribosomal RNA", at positions 9 to 524 of the family's 1533-position model. The record is from RNAcentral. Lineage: Bacteria; Pseudomonadati; Lentisphaerota; Lentisphaeria; Lentisphaerales; Lentisphaeraceae.
GAGUUUGAUCCUGGCUCAGGACGAACGCUGGCGGCGUGGAUUAGGCAUGCAAGUCGCGCGACGGGCCCUCGGGCUACGGAGCGGCGAACGGGUGAGUAACACGUGAACAAUCUGUCCCUACAUUCCGGAUAAUUGGCCGAAAGGCCUUGUAAUACGGGGGAGGAUCCUCGGGAGGCAUCUUUUGAGGAAGGAAGGCGCAAGCCGUGCAGGGAGGAGUUCGCGGCCUAUCAGUUAGUUGGUGGGGUAACGGCCUACCAAGACGACGACGGGUAGCUGGUCUGAGAGGAUGGUCAGCCACAUUGGAACUGAGAUACUGUCCAGACUCCUACGGGAGGCUGCAGUCGAGAAUCUUGGGCAAUGCACGAAAGUGUGACCCAGCGACGCCGCGUGGAGGAUGAAGGUCCUUGGAUUGUAAACUCCUUUUAUUGGGGAAGAAUGCCUUCGGGUUUGUACGGUACCAAUGAAUAAGCCACGGCUAACUACGUGCCAGCCGCCGCGGUAAC